This 405-nucleotide ribosomal RNA is filed under the name uncultured bacterium. RNAcentral's name for it is "bacterial SSU rRNA". It matches the Rfam family "Bacterial small subunit ribosomal RNA", at positions 355 to 776 of the family's 1533-position model. The record is from RNAcentral.
UGAGGGGUAUUGGGCAAUGGGGGAAACCCUGACCCAGCGACGCCGCGUGAGGGAAGACGGUCUUCGGAUUGUAAACCUCUGUCUUUGGGGACGAAAAAGGACGGUACCCAAGGAGGAAGCUCCGGCUAACUACGUGCCAGCAGCCGCGGUAAUACGUAGGGAGCGAGCGUUGUCCGGAAUUACUGGGUGUAAAGGGAGCGUAGGCGGGAUUGCAAGUUGGAUGUGAAAACUGCGGGCUCAACCCGGAGAGUGCAUUCAAAACUGCGAUUCUUGAGUGAAGUAGAGGCAAGCGGAAUUCCUAGUGUAGCGGUGAAAUGCGUAGAUAUUAGGAGGAACACCAGUGGCGAAGGCGGCUUGCUGGGCUUUUACUGACGCUGAGGCUCGAAAGUGUGGGGAGCAAACAGG